UCACCGAGCACUAUGGCAACCCGGCCAGCGGACUGCAUACAAUCCAGCUCGAACUUAAUCGCGCAAUCUACAUGGAUGAGCGGCGGCGCGAGCGUGGCCCGCAAUUCCGCAAGGUCGCCGAUGAUUUCAUGGUGCUAGCGGAGGCGCUGGCCGCGAUCCCGCUCGACAGCCUCGGACCGUUCCAGGCGGCGGCAGAAUAAAUUUCCUCAUGCGAAUCUCCUCGCACAGGACGCCUCGGCGUUGCCGAUUCCCCCCGCCCAAGAAAAAAGGGCCACUCGCGAAAGCAAGUGGCCCAAGUCUAGGGAGGAAACGCCCAAGGAGGGCAGCAAUAACGCGAGGCGUUAUCGCACCGCAACAAUAUGCAGCCGCAGCGCACCCAAGGCAAGUAUUUUUAAAGAAU
RNAcentral lists this unclassified non-coding RNA (400 nucleotides) under Hevea brasiliensis (rubber tree). The record is from RNAcentral. Lineage: Eukaryota; Viridiplantae; Streptophyta; Magnoliopsida; Malpighiales; Euphorbiaceae.